UACGUAGGGUGCAAGCGUUAAUCGGAAUUACUGGGCGUAAAGCGUGCGCAGGCGGUUUUGUAAGACUGUCGUGAAAUCCCCGGGCUUAACCUGGGAAUGGCGAUUGUGACUGCAAGGCUAGAGUUUGGCAGAGGGGGGUAGAAUUCCACGUGUAGCAGUGAAAUGCGUAGAUAUGUGGAGGAACACCGAUGGCGAAGGCAGCCCCCUGGGUCAAAACUGACGCUCAUGCACGAAAGCGUGGGGAGCAAACAGG
RNAcentral lists this ribosomal RNA (253 nucleotides) under uncultured bacterium. RNAcentral's name for it is "partial 16S ribosomal RNA". It matches the Rfam family "Bacterial small subunit ribosomal RNA", at positions 524 to 776 of the family's 1533-position model. The record is from RNAcentral.